CCUACGGGAGGCAGCAGUGAGGAAUAUUGGUCAAUGGGCUUACGCCUGAACCAGCCAAGUCGCGUGAGGGAAGACUGCCCUAUGGGUUGUAAAUCUCUUUUGUCAGGGAGCAACGCCGGCUACGUGUAGCCGGACUGAGAGUCCUUGAAGAAAAAGCAUCGGCAAACCCCGUGCCAGCCGCCGCGGGAAUACGGAGGAUGCGAGCGUUAUCCGAUUAUAUGGGGUUAAAGGGGUGCGUAGGUGGAAUGCCAAGUCAGCGGGAAAAGCGCGGGGCUCAACCUCGCUCCGCCGUUGAAACUGGCCUUCUUGAGUGGGCGAGGACUAUGCAGAAUGCGUGGUGGAGCGGUGAAAUGC
Molecule: ribosomal RNA, 354 nt
Filed under: uncultured bacterium
Lineage: Bacteria
Description: partial 16S ribosomal RNA
Rfam family: Bacterial small subunit ribosomal RNA
Source: RNAcentral